RNAcentral lists this transfer RNA (87 nucleotides) under Candidatus Falkowiibacteriota bacterium. Its description in RNAcentral is "tRNA-Ser". It matches the Rfam family "tRNA". From Rfam's summary of the family: Transfer RNA (tRNA) molecules are approximately 80 nucleotides in length. The record is from RNAcentral. Lineage: Bacteria; Candidatus Falkowiibacteriota.
GGAGAGGUGCCAGAGUGGUUGAAUGGAACAGUCUUGAAAACUGUCGUGCCUUCACGGGUACCCAGGGUUCGAAUCCCUGCCUCUCCG